RNAcentral lists this transfer-messenger RNA (428 nucleotides) under Candidatus Cardinium hertigii. It matches the Rfam family "transfer-messenger RNA". From Rfam's summary of the family: Bacterial tmRNA, also known as 10Sa RNA or SsrA, is named for its dual tRNA and mRNA-like properties. Its role is to liberate the mRNA from a stalled ribosome. Lineage: Bacteria; Pseudomonadati; Bacteroidota; Cytophagia; Cytophagales; Amoebophilaceae. RNAcentral also lists the same sequence under 1 other name. The record is from RNAcentral.
GGGGUUGACUGGAAUUGACGGGAAGAUUAAAUCCAAUGUAAGCAUGCGAGGUGUUGUAAGUAUUACCUCUAAAUAAAACUUUCAUAGUGAAUAAACGGCAACUUAGCCUUUAUUAACGCUCGCCGUCGCAAGUAUUCUUUUGCUCUUUUAGAAGAUGAAGAAGAAGGAAUGCGUUUGGCUGCUUAAUCGAUAGAUUAAGGGGCGUUUGUCCCUCUGGCUUUUGUUCUAUGGGGUCAGAAUAGGGACAUCGAUGCAUAGGACUGGUGUGACCAGAUGCGUGAUGGUUGCAUAAGAUUAACUGCGUAUAAGCAUAACAUAGAGGUAUGUUGCUGACCUUGGUUAUGUCGAAAAGAAACAGUAACUAAGCAUGUAGAAAGCGUUGUGGUUUUCUUGUUCGGACGAGGGUUCGAUUCCCUCCAACUCCACUU